UGGAUCCUCACCCUGAAGGAUUUAAGUGCACCCUGCUGAAUAUGCCAAGAGGAUGUUCCUGAAGAAAUAGGCCACAGAGGCAACAUGUGACUUUCCUGGUGAAUACCCACAUUGCCCCUAGCCUUCAUUGGGACAGAAACAUUUUCCAGGAUCCUGCUGACCUGACAUCAAAGUUCUCAGAUGCUGCUCAUGGAAUUGGGUGCCUGUCAGAGAUGACAUGAGAGUAGGCCUGAGGUAGUAGGAGGAGAUCGAGCAGAGGACAGCUACUUGAUCAGGAGAGGGAAGAUGGUCUGACUUCAAGGAGACCUUGGGGUGGACAGGAGAAGCUGUGGCACCUGCUGUCUGGAUACAACCCUGACUGGAAAACAUGGCAGGAGACAAGCUACAAGAGACCCAGCACUUCAGCCUGCUCCAAAUGACUGUGUACAGCCUGCUGUGCUCCCAAGAAGGUUCUUGGGGAACUUUUGACAGAAUGCAAAGAUGCCUGAUGACAUCACCUUGAAAUGUAUCAUCUUUCCUACCGGAGAAACUUCGGCCUCCUGAUAAGGUUUCACACAGGACACUACAGGGAGCUCCAGGCCUUGACUGGAUCCUUCAGAUCUCCAGUGUGCAGACAAACCUUUCAUACUCUUCCACACCUGACUCUGUGGG
Molecule: long non-coding RNA, 651 nt
Organism: Fukomys damarensis (Damara mole-rat)
Lineage: Eukaryota; Metazoa; Chordata; Mammalia; Rodentia; Bathyergidae
Exons: 4
Source: RefSeq, a predicted model, not a curated record